GAUGAACGCUAGCGGCAGGCUUAACACAUGCAAGUCGAGGGGCAGCGCGGGAUAGCAAUAUCCUGGCGGCGACCGGCGGAAGGGUGCGUAACGCGUGAGCGACAUGCCCGUUGCCCGGGGACAACCGGUGGAAACGCCGACUAAUCCCCGAUGGGAUACGAUGCUUCAUGGCAUUGUAUUGAAAGUUACGGCGGCGACGGAUUGGCUCGCGUCCGAUUAGCUGGUUGGCGGGGUAACGGCCCACCAAGGCUGCGAUCGGUAGGGGUUCUGAGAGGAAGGCCCCCCACAAGGGGACUGAGACACGGCCCAUACUCCUAAGGGAGGCAGCAGUGAGGAAUAUUGGACAAUGGGCGGAAGCCUGAACCAGCCAUGCCGCGUGCGGGAAGGAGGCCCUAUGGGCUGUGAACCGCUUUUGCCUGGGGGCAAUAAGGGCGUCGCGCACGUCCGAUGAGAGUACCAGGCGAAUAAGCAUCGGCUAACUCCGUG
RNAcentral lists this ribosomal RNA (486 nucleotides) under uncultured bacterium. RNAcentral's name for it is "partial 16S ribosomal RNA". It matches the Rfam family "Bacterial small subunit ribosomal RNA", at positions 28 to 507 of the family's 1533-position model. The record is from RNAcentral.